AUUAGUGGAAAUGAAUCAGAAGAGAUGAGGAACGAAAAGGCAGAAAAGAAGUUCCUCGUCCGCGGAUCUUUAUCCGUUUUACUUUUAUUGCCAAAUAUGGCGAUAAUUAAUUUUUAUUUAUUUUUUAUCAAAAUUUCAAAACAAAAUAAUCCGUUCAUCAAUAAUCGGCUAACCCACGUGGUUAGUGAAUCACCGGAACCUCACAAUACUACCCACUUUCCAAAAUGAUCUACAUCUGUAGAUUCAUUUUAAGCAUUCCUGACAUACGGUAGGUAUUUCCCCUAGAACUCUCUCUUUACUAUCUACCCUGCGCAUGGGAACCACUCGAUUCUAUUCUAAACGUGACUUCAAAAUGACGAGAAAAGGCAAGAUAAAGAGAAAAAAAACAAUAUUUAUUAUGACUAAUGAUUAAUUUGAGAUGUACCUAUUUUAUAAGAUAUAUAUAAUAAUACUAAAAUAAUUGAAGUUUACUAAGUAUAUACGAUUGAAUAAUGUUAGUCCUGGGUUUUCUUGAUGUUUCCCGAUUUCUUAUCUCCAUUCGAUCUGUUUAUUAAAUGUCUUCUUCGGAUAAAAUGAAGUGUGAGAGGGAGGAUGCGGCGUCAUCUCCGAUCUUUCUCGUGGUGGACUGCACUAUGGAGAAACGUCGGGAGAAUGGGCUUUAAUUCUAUUGUUUCUCACGGCUAACGCACAUAUAAUGCAAGUAUUCAAUUAAAAUAAUUAUAAGUAGAUUAGACGUUCUUGAGCUAUCUCCCAUAUUUAUUUCGCUCAAUAUCUGAUAUUUAUUUUAUCCCAUAUAACUUUUCCUUUUAAUUGAUUUCUUAUUUUAAUUUUUAAAGUUUAUAUUCUCGUUUCUACAGUUACGUAUUUACGGAAGAAACAGGUGCUUAAAACAGAAAAUCUCGUAGUUGAGGGCAUGUGCUUUUCCCACAGAAAGCCUCACAGGCUAUGGAUAUGUGCCUCUGUAACGAGCAGAAAGCCUUGCAUUAACAGCUAUGUGCUCUUUCACACCCUUAUUUCGAAUCUAUUUUAUAUAUACUUGCUUUUUGUGUCUCCCUCUGUUGUGUAUAUUUACUUAUUGUCCAAAAUUUUUAUCCUGCUCUUCAUUGGUGUGUUUGUUUUUAUAAUGUAAUGGCUUAUAGUAUAGCAGUUUAGGCUAGUGCACGUGCUUAUGUAGUAGAUUAUAUUCUACAGCGGCUUAUGCGUGGGCAACCGCUUAAUCUACUACUACUGCUUGUUGUGCUAGUGAUGCUAGUGCCUUAUGCUAUCUCUUCUGCUAGUGCAAGUGUAAUGGACUCUCACCGCGUCAUGCUAAUGAUGCUGCUUGACCUCCUUUUUCGAUUGAGGUGGUUUCUGUCAACCUUUUGCCACCCUUGUUAUUUAUCUAUCCAUUUAGUCGCCUCUUACGACACGCAGGUUCACGGUGGGCC
RNAcentral lists this long non-coding RNA (1427 nucleotides) under Androctonus crassicauda. The record is from RNAcentral. Lineage: Eukaryota; Metazoa; Arthropoda; Arachnida; Scorpiones; Buthidae.